RNAcentral lists this unclassified non-coding RNA (159 nucleotides) under soil metagenome. Its description in RNAcentral is "partial internal transcribed spacer 1". The record is from RNAcentral.
CCGAGUUUACAACUCCCAAACCCAUGUGAACAUUAUCAUCUUUGUUGCCUCGGCGGCAUCUAGCCCGACCUCCGCGUACACCGGGACGGCCCGCCAGCGGACACCUAAAACUCUUGUUAUCUAUUGAUUAAUCUGAGUGUAAACUUAUUAAAUAAGUCA